This 1200-nucleotide long non-coding RNA is filed under the name Triticum aestivum (bread wheat). Its description in RNAcentral is "long non-coding RNA (TAES_LNC018979)". Lineage: Eukaryota; Viridiplantae; Streptophyta; Magnoliopsida; Poales; Poaceae. The record is from RNAcentral.
UUCUGGUUUCUCCAUAUUAGCUGAUGAUGACAUUAGCAAGGACCCUGCUGCUAAAGACAAAUCAAGCAAUUCCUGUACAUUUGGAUCUGAGAGUGGUCUAUUUGAGCCCACUAUCACUACCCGCAACGUCAUGUCGGAGAUCAAUGAAAUGUUUGGAAUGUCACUUGACUUCUAAGGCACUUGCUUAGAGGGAAUUUAAUUAUUCAACAGGUACUGUUUGUCCUGCACCUUGUCACUCUUUUCUUGAGACUCCUUGUAUUCUGCAUUCAAGAUGUGAAAUGUGCUGCAUAUUUCGUCUAAAAAUGAAAAAAUGCAAUCAAUAUGGAAUAUAUGUACUACCAUUUGGUGAUAUAAUAGCUUGGGAUUCAGUUGAACUCUUUGGUGCAUAGUUGGCGACUGGUGAAUAUUUCAAAAACUGAUCAUUCGCGUUUAUCGUUCUUAUGUUUGAAUGUGCGUUUUCCUUGAUAAAAUUAGGACGAGCAAAAUGGUGACUAGCUUGGUUAUUCAUAUCGCCUUGAUAUCGUGAUGUUUUUGCUCUUACCUGAAAAAUGCUUCUCUUGACGCAGGUGCAGAAGAUGCACAGAAAAUGUUACAAGAUCACCCCUCUGGUGAUCCAGGGUGCAGAAACCGGGAAUGUACCAUGCCUGUGGUGUUCUCGCUGAUGUCAUAAUUUUCCAGGAUAUUUUCCACAAAAUGAGCUUCCAAAUCUUUGUUUAGCACCAGGCCCUUGAGUUUUGUACCAUAUGAAUGCUGGUAUAAGUUAAAUUGUUCCCUCAGGAUUUGAGGUCACAGAACAUUUUGUUCUCCCCACUGUAUUUUGUUCAUUAGAUCCUUGGUUAGCAUUGGUGAUGCUGCCCAUUACAAUGACUUUCUCUUUGUUGGAAGGCACUGCCAGUCCAUUAUCAAACUCUGUCCCCGCUUUGCUUGUGUUUUUGCUGCUUGUACUGAAGGAAUUUUACAGAAUAAAAAAUACAGUUCCAAACAGUGCCUACACUCUUACAUUUGUUUUUGCGAGUACACUUAUUUAUGGCCAUUAAGGUUUUACUUUCCAUUUUUGUGCUGUUUGUUGACAACAUGUUGCAGGUUUCAAUUGGGGAGACUGACGUGAAACAACUAGUGCACUAGCAUCAAGGAUCAAAGCCUACAGUAAGAAUUUAUUUAUUUUGGCAUAUUUAGAUAGGUAAUGAAACAUAGAUUAAU